This 451-nucleotide ribosomal RNA is filed under the name uncultured bacterium. Its description in RNAcentral is "partial 16S ribosomal RNA". It matches the Rfam family "Bacterial small subunit ribosomal RNA", at positions 29 to 523 of the family's 1533-position model. The record is from RNAcentral.
AGCGAACGCUGGCGGCAGGCCUAACACAUGCAAGUCGAGCGGCCGUAGCAAUACGGCAGCGGCAGACGGGAGAGUAACACGUGGGAACGCGCCCUUCGGUUCGGGAUAACUCAGGGAAACUUGGGCUAAUACCGGAUACGCCCUUACGGGGAAAGAUUUAUUGCCGAAGGAACGGCCCGCGUCCGAUUAGCUAGUUGGUGAGGUAACGGCUCACCAAGGCGACGAUCGGUAGCUGGUCUGAGAGGAUGACCAGCCUCACUGGGACUGAGACACGGCCCAGACUCCUACGGGAGGCAGCAGUGGGGAAUAUUGGACAAUGGGCGCAAGCCUGAUCCAGCCAUGCCGCGUGGGUGAUGAAGGCCCUAGGGUUGUAAAGCCCUUUCAGCGGGGAAGAUAAUGACGGUACCCGCAGAAGAAGCCCCGGCUAACUUCGUGCCAGCAGCCGCCGUAA